Molecule: ribosomal RNA, 636 nt
Filed under: uncultured Clostridium sp.
Lineage: Bacteria; Bacillati; Bacillota; Clostridia; Eubacteriales; Clostridiaceae
Description: bacterial SSU rRNA
Rfam family: Bacterial small subunit ribosomal RNA
Source: RNAcentral
UCUUCGGAGAAGAGCGGCGGACGGGUGAGUAACGCGUGGGUAACCUGCCUCAUACACAUGGAUAACAUACCGAAAGGUAUGCUAAUACAGGAUAACAUAAGAGAUUCGCAUGUUUCUCUUAUCAAAGCUCCGGCGGUAUGAGAUGGACCCGCGUCUGAUUAGCUAGUUGGUAAGGUAAUGGCUUACCAAGGCAACGAUCAGUAGCCGACCUGAGAGGGUGAUCGGCCACAUUGGAACUGAGACACGGUCCAAACUCCUACGGGAGGCAGCAGUGGGGAAUAUUGCACAAUGGGCGAAAGCCUGAUGCAGCAACGCCGCGUGAGUGAUGAAGGCCUUCGGGUCGUAAAACUCUGUCCUCAAGGAAGAUAAUGACGGUACUUGAGGAGGAAGCCCCGGCUAACUACGUGCCAGCAGCCGCGGUAAUACGUAGGGGGCUAGCGUUAUCCGGAUUUACUGGGCGUAAAGGGUGCGUAGGUGGUUUCUUAAGUCAGGAGUGAAAGGCUACGGCUUAACCGUAGUAAGCUCUUGAAACUGGGAAACUUGAGUGCAGGAGAGGAAAGUGGAAUUCCUAGUGUAGCGGUGAAAUGCGUAGAUAUUAGGAGGAACACCAGUAGCGAAGGCGGCUUUCUGGACUGU